UCCGCGGUAGCUCAGCUGGUAGAGCAAGCGACUGUUAAUCGCUAGGUCACAGGUUCGAGCCCUGUCCGCGGAGCCA
This 76-nucleotide transfer RNA is filed under the name Minisyncoccota bacterium. RNAcentral's name for it is "tRNA-Asn". It matches the Rfam family "tRNA". Rfam says of the family: Transfer RNA (tRNA) molecules are approximately 80 nucleotides in length. Their secondary structure includes four short double-helical elements and three loops (D, anti-codon, and T loops). The record is from RNAcentral. Lineage: Bacteria; Bacillati; Minisyncoccota.